GAUGAACGCUGGCGGCGUGCUUAACACAUGCAAGUCGAACGGGAAACCUUUUAUUGAAGCUUCGGCAGAUUUAGCUGGUUUCUAGUGGCGGACGGGUGAGUAACGCGUGGGUAACCUGCCUUAUACAGGGGGAUAACAGUCAGAAAUGGCUGCUAAUACCGCAUAAGCGCACAGAGCUGCAUGGCUCAGUGUGAAAAACUCCGGUGGUAUAAGAUGGACCCGCGUUGGAUUAGCUGGUUGGUGGGGUAACGGCCCACCAAGGUGACGAUCCAUAGCCGGCCUGAGAGGGUGAACGGCCACAUUGGGACUGAGACACGGCCCAGACUCCUACGGGAGGCAGCAGUGGGGAAUAUUGCACAAUGGGGGAAACCCUGAUGCAGCGACGCCGCGUGAAGGAAGAAGUAUCUCGGUAUGUAAACUUCUAUCAGCAGGGAAGAUAAUGACGGUACCUGACUAAGAAGCCCCGGCUAACUACGUG
This 478-nucleotide ribosomal RNA is filed under the name uncultured bacterium. Its description in RNAcentral is "partial 16S ribosomal RNA". It matches the Rfam family "Bacterial small subunit ribosomal RNA", at positions 28 to 507 of the family's 1533-position model. The record is from RNAcentral.